UACGUAGGGGCCGAGCGUUGUCCGGAGUUACUGGGCGUAAAGCGCGCGCAGGCGGCUCGUCAAGCCUGACGUGAAAUCCCCGGGCUCAACCCGGGAACUGCGUCCGAGACUGGCAGGCUCGAAUCCGGGAGAGGGAUGUGGAAUUCCAGGUGUAGCGGUGAAAUGCGUAGAUAUCUGGAGGAACACCGGUGGCGAAGGCGGCAUCCUGGACCAACACUGACGCUGAGGAGCGAAAGCCAGGGGAGCAAACGGG
Molecule: ribosomal RNA, 253 nt
Filed under: uncultured bacterium
Lineage: Bacteria
Description: partial 16S ribosomal RNA
Rfam family: Bacterial small subunit ribosomal RNA
Source: RNAcentral